AGAGUCGAGUUGUUUGGGAAUGCAGCUCAAAAUGGGUGGUAAAUUCCAUCUAAAGCUAAAUAUUGGCGAGAGACCGAUAGCGAACAAGUACCGUGAGGGAAAGAUGAAAAGAACUUUGGAAAGAGAGUUAAACAGUACGUGAAAUUGUUGAAAGGGAAACGCUUGAAGUCAGUCGCGUCUGCCAGGGAUCAACCUUACUUUUGUGAGGCGUACUUCCUGGUUGAUGGGUCAGCAUCAGUUUUGGUCGCUGGAUAAAGGUCAGAGAAAUGUGGCACCUUCGGGUGUGUUAUAGUCUUUGAUCAGAUACAGUGGCUGGGACUGAGGAACUCAGCGCCGCAAGGCUGUCUUAGGAUGCUGGCAAAAUGGCUUUAAUCGACCCGUCUUGAAACACGGACCAAGGAGUCUAACAUGCCUGCGAGUGUUUGGGUGGAAAACCCGAGCGCGUAAUGAAAGUGAAAGUUGGGAUCCCUGUCAUGGGGAGCACCGACGCCCAUACCAGAAGUUUACGGACGGAUAUGCGGUAGAGCAUGUAUGUUGGGACCCGAAAGAUGGUGAACUAUGCCUGAAUAGGGCGAAGCCAGAGGAAACUCUGGUGGGAGGCUCGUAGCGAUUCUGACGUGCAAAUCGAUCGUCGGAAUUUGGGUAUAGGGCGAAAGACUAAUCGACC
Molecule: ribosomal RNA, 667 nt
Filed under: Pleurotus pulmonarius
Lineage: Eukaryota; Fungi; Basidiomycota; Agaricomycetes; Agaricales; Pleurotaceae
Description: LSU rRNA
Rfam family: Eukaryotic large subunit ribosomal RNA
Source: RNAcentral